RNAcentral lists this long non-coding RNA (617 nucleotides) under Takifugu rubripes (torafugu). Its description in RNAcentral is "lncRNA (ENSTRUG00000031207.1)". The record is from RNAcentral. Lineage: Eukaryota; Metazoa; Chordata; Actinopteri; Tetraodontiformes; Tetraodontidae.
GUGCGCCUCUUUACAGAGCGUGCACGGACAGAAUGCACCUGCUCUACACGCACUGGGCUGGAAGCAUGAUUCAUGUGUUUGAGGUGAACAGAGUGCUGCUGCAUGAACCGCUGCAACCCCAGAGCUUCCCAGAGCUGAGUCAGCGCCUGAAAUCUGUCCAGAAACGACUCCAGGAGGAGUCGAAUUCCAUGAAGCCUCCCUGUUGCUUCGGCCUUGAAGACACGCUGACUGUCCUCCAGACUCUGUGGGCUCAGAUAAUGAUGGGACAACAACAUCUACACGCUCUUCUCUGUCACGUGGUCCAGUCCAGCGAGGAAGCACCUGAGGAGGAGACAUCGGAGCUGGUGGCACAGGCGACCCGGAUGAAGAGGAGCUGGUUUGCCUCUGUGGCUCAGCUGGACCAGCUCAGGUCUGUGAGAGACCAGCUGAGCCGGUGGAGAAUCUACCGUAGCGGUCUGAAACUUAUUGGGGGGCUGCUGGGGGACGUAGACUGUGUGCUGCCCCCUGCUGGAGCUCUGAUGAUUACCACCGAUGAUUAUCAGUGUGUGGAGGACACGUUAGCUGGACACUCUGCCGCGUAUUCCAAGACGCUGGAGGCCGGAAGACAAUUUAUAUGA